RNAcentral lists this ribosomal RNA (253 nucleotides) under uncultured bacterium. Its description in RNAcentral is "partial 16S ribosomal RNA". It matches the Rfam family "Bacterial small subunit ribosomal RNA", at positions 524 to 776 of the family's 1533-position model. The record is from RNAcentral.
UACGUAGGUGGCAAGCGUUACUCGGAAUCACUAGGCGUAAAGCGCAGGUAGGCGGUUUGAUAAGUCUCUUGUGAAAGCUCCCGGCUCAACUGGGAGAGGUCAAGGGAAACUGUCAGGCUAGAGUGUGGCAGAGGAAGCUAGAAUUCCCGGUGUAGCGGUGAAAUGCGUAGAUAUGCGGAGGAACACCGAUGGCGAAGGCAAUCCCCUGGGCCUGCACUGACGCUCAUGCACGAAAGCGUGGGGAGCAAACAGG